This 705-nucleotide ribosomal RNA is filed under the name Marinovum sp. RNAcentral describes it as "bacterial SSU rRNA". It matches the Rfam family "Bacterial small subunit ribosomal RNA", at positions 36 to 788 of the family's 1533-position model. The record is from RNAcentral. Lineage: Bacteria; Pseudomonadati; Pseudomonadota; Alphaproteobacteria; Rhodobacterales; Roseobacteraceae.
CGGGGCGGCAGACUACACAUGCAAGUCGAGCGAGCUCUUCGGAGCUAGCGGCGGACGGGUUAGUAACGCGUGGGAACGUGCCCUUCACUGCGGAAUAGCCACUGGAAACGGUGAGUAAUACCGCAUACGCCCUUCGGGGGAAAGAUUUAUCGGUGAAGGAUCGGCCCGCGUUAGAUUAGAUAGUUGGUGGGGUAACGGCCUACCAAGUCUACGAUCUAUAGCUGGUUUUAGAGGAUGAUCAGCAACACUGGGACUGAGACACGGCCCAGACUCCUACGGGAGGCAGCAGUGGGGAAUCUUGGACAAUGGGCGCAAGCCUGAUCCAGCCAUGCCGCGUGAGUGAUGAAGGCCUUAGGGUCGUAAAGCUCUUUCGCCAGAGAUGAUAAUGACAGUAUCUGGUAAAGAAACCCCGGCUAACUCCGUGCCAGCAGCCGCGGUAAUACGGAGGGGGUUAGCGUUGUUCGGAAUUACUGGGCGUAAAGCGCACGUAGGCGGAUCAGAAAGUUGGGGGUGAAAUCCCGGGGCUCAACCCCGGAACUGCCUCCAAAACUCCUGGUCUUGAGUUCGAGAGAGGUGAGUGGAAUUCCGAGUGUAGAGGUGAAAUUCGUAGAUAUUCGGAGGAACACCAGUGGCGAAGGCGGCUCACUGGCUCGAUACUGACGCUGAGGUGCGAAAGUGUGGGGAGCAAACAGGAUUAGAUACCCU